This is a long non-coding RNA of Sapajus apella (tufted capuchin), 121 nucleotides long. RefSeq lists it as uncharacterized. The transcript is spliced from 3 exons. NCBI's taxonomy places the organism in Eukaryota, Metazoa, Chordata, Mammalia, Primates, Cebidae. The record is from RefSeq and is a predicted model, not a curated record.
UUCUGCAUGUUUAAAAUUUACUGGCUGUGUGGAGUGGCUCACACAAGUAAUCCCAAGCACUUUGGGAAGCUAAGGUGAGCUGAUCACUUGAGUUCAGAAGUAUGAGACCAACCUAGCCAUG